GUGUAUUAUGGAAUUAGACGUUGAACAGUUUUUUUCACCAUUUCUGUGUCCAGGCGUUCAGAAAUCAAGGGGCCAUGACCAUGAUUAGGAGUGAAUGAAGUCAGGUGAGAAUGGAUGGAUCCAUGAAAGUGGGCGGAGGGUCACUGGCUCUAUUCUACAACACUAAAAGGAUUGCAAGACAACUUUGGAGAGGUGGAAGAGGGCGUAUAUUUGCUCCGCAACAAGAGGAAGCCAUUUGUGCAAUGGUGAUUGCAAACAAUGCCAUAAGGUUGAGAGGGAUACAAAGUGCUGUUAUAGAGGAUGACAACGUCUUUGGGAAUAUUGAAUCUGUUUCAGUCGCUACUCAGGAGGAAUGAAAUGCGCAUGAAACAACUGUACAAUGUGCCAUUUGAACGGAACAGCGACAGAGUGAAGGAGAUCCGUCACCAGUAUGUACAGCAUGUACUGGAGCUAGAGGCCAGGGAACCGCUGCACACAUUCAUAUACCUUGAUGAGGCGGGUUUCAAUCUGGCAAAAGGUAGAAGAUGUGGAAGGAAUCGCAUUGGACAGAGAGCAACCGUUGAUGUCCCAGGCCAACGAGGAGGGAAUAUUACUAUGUGUGCCGCCAUCUCAGAAAACGGCGUCCUCACCCAUAUCCCCCGUCUUGGUCCAUACAACACACAACAUCUGCUGACUUUUUUUAGACACUCUUCACAGGGACAUAAUCCCUGAGAAUGAGAUGGGUCUAACUGGAGACCAUCUGAACAAGCAUGUUGUUGUUUUGGAUAAUGUGCAUUUUCACCACUCAGAUGUCGUCAGACAGUGGUUUGCAGCACAUAAUAGGAUGCUGGUGGAAUAUCUCCCUCCCUACUCCCCAUUCCUAAAUCCAAUAGAGGAGUUUUUCUCUUCCUGGAGGUGGAAGUUAUAUGACCGGCAUCCACAUACCCAAAUGGCCCUGCUAGUGGCCAUGGAUGCAGCAUGGGAUGACAUCGCAGCAGAGUCCUGCAGAGGGUGGAUUCGCCACUCGAGGAGAUACUUUCCUCGCUGCAUUGUAAGAGAUGAUAUUCGCUGUGAUGUUGAUGAAAAUAUGUGGCAAGACAGAGAGGAACGUCUGGAUUUUCAUGAAUGAUUACAGUACUAUGUAUGUUGUAUGUUCAGUUCAAAUAUGUACUGCAAUAUUGUUUACCGUUGUGCACAGCUGUACCCAAAGGGAGUUUAUGUUUGU
Molecule: long non-coding RNA, 1204 nt
Organism: Perca fluviatilis (European perch)
Lineage: Eukaryota; Metazoa; Chordata; Actinopteri; Perciformes; Percidae
Exons: 3
Source: RefSeq, a predicted model, not a curated record